UACGAAGGGGGCUAGCGUUGCUCGGAUUGACUGGGCGUAAAGGGCGCGUAGGCGGUUUGCACAGUCAGACGUGAAAUUCCUGGGCUCAACCUGGGGGCUGCGUUUGAUACGUGUAGACUUGAGUGCGGAAGAGGGUCGUGGAAUUCCCAGUGUAGAGGUGAAAUUCGUAGAUAUUGGGAAGAACACCGGUGGCGAAGGCGGCGACCUGGUCCGAUACUGACGCUGAGGCGCGAAAGCGUGGGGAGCGAACAGG
RNAcentral lists this ribosomal RNA (253 nucleotides) under uncultured bacterium. RNAcentral's name for it is "partial 16S ribosomal RNA". It matches the Rfam family "Bacterial small subunit ribosomal RNA", at positions 524 to 776 of the family's 1533-position model. The record is from RNAcentral.